UCUAAUAUGGCAGAUUAGUGCAAUGAAUUUAAGCUUCAUAUAUAAAGAUAACUUUCUUUUAUUAGAA
Molecule: transfer RNA, 67 nt
Filed under: Aeschrocoris ceylonicus
Lineage: Eukaryota; Metazoa; Arthropoda; Insecta; Hemiptera; Pentatomidae
Description: tRNA-Leu
Source: RNAcentral